Hyaena hyaena (striped hyena) is the source of this 371-nucleotide long non-coding RNA. RefSeq lists it as uncharacterized. The record is from RefSeq and is a predicted model, not a curated record. NCBI's taxonomy places the organism in Eukaryota, Metazoa, Chordata, Mammalia, Carnivora, Hyaenidae. The transcript is spliced from 2 exons.
CCGGACGUUCCUGUUCUCUGCACCUUCCUGGCGGAGAAACAAGCGCUGAGCGGUGUCCAGGGACAGCACCUGAGGGUUAUGGUCACAGCGAUCCCACGGAAAUGCCGCAGGGAGUCGCAGAGCUCUCCCGGGCGCGCCCCGUUCCGCAGGCUCAGCGACGUGCUUAGACGAUUUUCUUGGCCCAGCCACCCGGACAGGCGCCUCUCUGUCACUCCACAUCGGGUUGGAGAACACACCCGCCCCGCUCUUUUCUUCAUUGUAACUCGUAAAAGCUCAUCCUCAAGUCUGCCGAUCUGGAAAUUAUUUGAAUGCAGGGCUGGGUUUGUUAGAAAUGUUUUUUUGGCCCUAAAUAGAAAACCAACCAAAUGUUA